Molecule: ribosomal RNA, 352 nt
Filed under: Laemodonta bella
Lineage: Eukaryota; Metazoa; Mollusca; Gastropoda; Ellobiida; Ellobiidae
Description: partial 12S ribosomal RNA
Source: RNAcentral
CCCCACUAUAUGGAGAGAAAAUACAGAUGAAGCACUAAAACCCUCAGGUUAAAANUUAAAGAGCAUGGCGGCGAGCUCAACUUUUCAGGGGAAUUUACCAGAUAAUUGACAACCCUCAAGAAGCCCCUCUCACCCUAAUAGUUUGUAUGCCGCCGUCUUCAGGUGACGCCUAAGGUCUUACCAAAAAUCUAACGGACAAAAGACAGGUCAUGGUGCAGCUAAUGGUUGUGUGCUAGGUGAGUUACAAUAAGAACUAUUUUCAGCUUUAGGCCUUAAAUCUGCCAACAAAAGUAGGACUUGAAAGUAAUUGUUAAGUUAGUACGCACUGAAUGGCUUAUGAGUUCGUGCACAC